UGCAGAGAUUUGCUACACUGUUCUUUUGGCCUUGGGAUGGCAUACUUGUACAGCAUCUCUACAAUUGUUUCGAAAGAAGCAAAUUUCAUCAUGAUACAUACAAUAGUUAAAACUUAAACGUGGGAUUUUGAUGCUUUAACUUACACGGAAUCUGACGUCCCCAAAGAGGAACCAGACCUUUAUAGAGCCUGUAAAAGAAGACAACCAGAGACUUCGAAGUUAUUAGGAGGAAAAAAAAAAGUUUAUGUUGAUGGUGUAUCUGCAUUAUAUAAUUAGUUUCAUACCCAAGAACACCCUCAGACUUGACAAACUUUGGGAGCCCAUCUGACAACCCCCGAGCAAAACCAGGUUGCGUUUGGACGCGAACUUUGACGGCCUCCAUGGGGCAGAGAGCGACAUCGGCAAUUACUUCUGCAGAUGCUGAGCCAGCAAGGUAUAUGAAAGUUUUGUACUUGGCUGCAUUCUCUGCUCCAACUAUAUCAGAAUAGUACUUCUUGAAGAACUCGUAAAAUCCAAACUUGCACGCCCCCUGAGCACUGUAACCAAGCAACGUUGGCACCCAACCCCGGAAGAACCCUCUCACUCCCUGCUCCUUUAGCAGAAUUCCAAAACCAGACGAGAUGUUCUUGUACUUUGCAGGGUCGAUCUAAAAUUUGGGGUGUGGCCAAAAGAGAGCUAUUUUAAUUAUAACUGUUUUGUGGGUUGUGGGACAGACAUAAAAUGGCGUUGCCUUAAAGGUGGGAAGGAAGACUUGGAUAUUUAACAUCGAUAUUCAGAGUUUACCUGCAUAUUGCACUUGACGAGGUCGAGGGGGGUGACAGUCAUGUGGGUGAGUCCAC
Long non-coding RNA from Cucurbita maxima (winter squash), 839 nucleotides. RefSeq lists it as uncharacterized. The transcript is spliced from 3 exons. The record is from RefSeq and is a predicted model, not a curated record. NCBI's taxonomy places the organism in Eukaryota, Viridiplantae, Streptophyta, Magnoliopsida, Cucurbitales, Cucurbitaceae.